Molecule: ribosomal RNA, 253 nt
Filed under: uncultured bacterium
Lineage: Bacteria
Description: partial 16S ribosomal RNA
Rfam family: Bacterial small subunit ribosomal RNA
Source: RNAcentral
UACGGGGGGGGCAAGCGUUGUUCGGAAUUACUGGGCGUAAAGGGCUCGUAGGCGGCCAACUAAGCCAGACGUGAAAUCCCUCGGCUUAACCGGGGAACUGCGUCUGAUACUGGAUGGCUUGAGUUCGGGAGAGGGAUGCGGAAUUCCAGGUGUAGCGGUGAAAUGCGUAGAUAUCUGGAGGAACACCGGUGGCGAAGGCGGCAUCCUGGACCGACACUGACGCUGAGGAGCGAAAGCCAGGGGAGCAAACGGG